CUAACCUGCCCACUGAUUUAUUAAAGGGCCGCGGUAUAUUGACUGUGCAAAGGUAGCAUAAUCAUUUGUCUUUUAAUUGAAGGCUAGAAUGAAUGGUUGAAUGAAGUAUUGACUGUCUCAUUAUAAAAAAUAUAAAAAUUUAAUUUUUUAGUCAAAAAGCUAAAAUUUAAUUAGAGGACGAGAAGACCCUAUAGAUCUUUAUAUAAAUUUUUAUAAAAAUUUGGUUGAAUAUAAUUUAUUUAAAUAAAAAUUUAUAUUUUGUUGGGGUGACAGGAAAAUUUAAUAAACUAUUUUUAAAAAUAAAACAAAAAUAAUUGAUUUAUUGAUCCAAUAUUAUUGAUUAAAAGUUUAAGUUACCUUAGGGAUAACAGCGUAAUUUUUUUGGCGAGUUCAUAUUAAUAAAAAAGAUUGCGACCUCGAUGUUGAAUUAAAGA
RNAcentral lists this ribosomal RNA (434 nucleotides) under Osmylus atomatus. Its description in RNAcentral is "partial large subunit ribosomal RNA". It matches the Rfam family "Bacterial large subunit ribosomal RNA", at positions 1854 to 2543 of the family's 2925-position model. The record is from RNAcentral. Lineage: Eukaryota; Metazoa; Arthropoda; Insecta; Neuroptera; Osmylidae.